This 172-nucleotide transfer-messenger RNA is filed under the name Lactobacillus delbrueckii subsp. bulgaricus. RNAcentral describes it as "partial transfer-messenger RNA". It matches the Rfam family "transfer-messenger RNA", at positions 1 to 179 of the family's 374-position model. Rfam says of the family: Bacterial tmRNA, also known as 10Sa RNA or SsrA, is named for its dual tRNA and mRNA-like properties. Its role is to liberate the mRNA from a stalled ribosome. To accomplish this part of the tmRNA is used as a reading frame that ends in a translation stop signal. Lineage: Bacteria; Bacillati; Bacillota; Bacilli; Lactobacillales; Lactobacillaceae. The record is from RNAcentral.
GGGGACGUUACGGAUUCGACAGGGAUGGAUCGAGCUUGAGCUGCGAGCCGAGAGGCGAUCUCGUAAACACGCACUUAAAUAUAACUGGCAAAACUAACAGUUUUAACCAAAACGUAGCAUUAGCUGCCUAAUAAGCGCAGCGAGCUCUUCCUGACAUUGCCUAUGUGUCUGU